Molecule: transfer RNA, 1307 nt
Filed under: Bartonella rattaustraliani
Lineage: Bacteria; Pseudomonadati; Pseudomonadota; Alphaproteobacteria; Hyphomicrobiales; Bartonellaceae
Description: partial 16S-23S ribosomal RNA intergenic spacer
Rfam family: tRNA (bases 363-436)
Source: RNAcentral
CCUUUCUAAGGAUGAUCAAGAAUUGGAAAGUCUUUAAAAAAGACACGCACUUUAAUAAAAUAAAGUCAAAUUCCUUUUUGAUCUCAUUAGACAUAAAAGGUUUAAACAAGUCCGUUUAAACCUGAAGCAUAUGGCACUUUCUCUCAAGGCACCUCUCGUUUAAGAGAGUGUUCCAUGAGAAAUGUUCCUAUGUUAAGAUAUAUAAGCAGACUAGCCGUCUUCGUUUCUCUUUCUUCAGAUGAUGAUCCCAAGCCUUCUGGCAAUCCGUAGCAAGUUUUUUGUAAAACUUGAAGAAAGUAUUUUUCUUAAAAGAAUGCUUAUCAUGCGAUAAAGCCGGGGAAGGUUUUCCGGUUUAUCCCGGAGGGCUUGUAGCUCAGUUGGUUAGAGCGCGCGCUUGAUAAGCGUGAGGUCGGAGGUUCAAGUCCUCCCAGGCCCACCAAUUAUUCAUCCUUUGAAAAAGCGCUUAUAACGUUCAAUUUGUAACGUGCGACUGGUCGGGUUUGAAAAGACGUGUUUAUCACUUUUGGUAAGAUAUGGCAUUUAUCUGUUUUUUAAAGUGAGUGAAAGCAAAGGCGGUUUAAGGUAAAGAUCUCUCAAUACGGUGAUCUUUAGACACAAGGAUCUUUAAGACACAGUUUUUUUAGGAACAGGGUUUUUUAGACACAGGCACUCUUUUAAUGCAGGGUUUCUGCGUGGAAAAAUAAAAUUCCAGCUGUUUCUCUAAGUGCUCAAUUUCCUGAAUAUCCAAUCCUAAAGUGUUAAAAAUCCAUGGCUUAGAGUUAAGUAUUGGGGAGUUAAAAUCUUCAAGGAUUGAAACUUCAAACGUGUGAGGUUUCAGUGUUAAAGAGCUGUUUGAGAGAGGCUUUGGAUAAAUGAAGCGUUUAUAGGGGGCCGUAGCUCAGCUGGGAGAGCACCUGCUUUGCAAGCAGGGGGUCGUCGGUUCGAUCCCGUCCGGCUCCACCAUUUGGUCAUCAUCAUUGUUGUGAGAACACACUUUAGUGGGAGGUUUAGAAACCUUUUGCUUGUUCUAUUGAAAUUGUGAAGAGAAGAUAUAUUCAGACAUGUCGCUUUUGAGAUGUUUUUUCCAAAGAGCAGAUCUGCUCUCAGGAAGAAAAGGUUGAUAAGGCAACAUUGUGUCGCAAGGGAACGCUCAAAGCCCUUGCUUAUGAUUGGAAGCUUAACCGCGCCAUUGAAUAUAUCUCGAGAAGCUGGUCUUUUCUGCUGAUAUUACUGUUUAUUUUGCGCUUUGUUUUGCACAAGAUAAAGAAAUGCGGAUAAACGAAGAAGAAUAUGGCAAGAGAAGGCAA